GAUGAACGCUAGCGGCAGGCUUAACACAUGCAAGUCGAGGGGUAUUGGUUUUUGGACCAAGAGACCGGCGCACGGGUGCGUAACGCGUAUGCAAUCUACCUUUUGCAGAGGGAUAGCCCAGAGAAAUUUGGAUUAAUACCUCAUAGUAUAGUACUUUGGCAUCAAGGAACUAUUAAAGUCACAACGGCAAAAGAUGAGCAUGCGUCCCAUUAGCUAGUUGGUAAGGUAACGGCUUACCAAGGCUACGAUGGGUAGGGGUUCUGAGAGGGAGAUCCCCCACACUGGUACUGAGACACGGACCAGACUCCUACGGGAGGCAGCAGUGAGGAAUAUUGGACAAUGGGCGCAAGCCUGAUCCAGCCAUGCCGCGUGCAGGAUGACGGUCCUAUGGAUUGUAAACUGCUUUUAUACAGGAAGAAACACUCCGAGUGUCGGAGGCUUGACGGUACUGUAAGAAUAAGGAUCGGCUAACUCCGUGCCAGCAGCCGAC
RNAcentral lists this ribosomal RNA (490 nucleotides) under uncultured bacterium. RNAcentral's name for it is "bacterial SSU rRNA". It matches the Rfam family "Bacterial small subunit ribosomal RNA", at positions 28 to 518 of the family's 1533-position model. The record is from RNAcentral.